Molecule: RNA transcript, 2499 nt
Organism: Populus nigra (black poplar)
Lineage: Eukaryota; Viridiplantae; Streptophyta; Magnoliopsida; Malpighiales; Salicaceae
Gene name: squamosa promoter-binding-like protein 2
Exons: 6
Source: RefSeq, a predicted model, not a curated record
CUUACUGUGAUUAGCCCAAGCAACUUCAAUGUGAAUUAUUGCUUACUUUUGUUGAUGGUAAAAAGAUGAAACCGGCUCCAUUUUAAUACAAGUUGGAUAUACUGAGACAAUUGAGGUAUAAAGAGAGAGAGAGAGAGAGAGAGGAGAGAGCAUUUAUUAGGUGUGCUGGGUGGAGACAGUUUGUUAGGUAACACACUGAGAAGUCAUGGUUGUGUCUAGGAGAGGUAAAUAUGUACAAAAGUAGAGAAACUUGAUUAAUUUUUGUAGUUGCUGUUCUUGAAAUCUGUGAAUUGAUUGUGGAUGUUUGUGUUUAGAGAUUGAUUGAUUUCUGCAAGAAACUUUACUGGGUUAUCAAGAGACCUUUGUUUAGUAGAUGCUUCUUUUACUUGGUUUAGUUUAGGUUUGCCUGUUAUUUUGUCUGAGUUCUCUGAGCUGGGGAGUUCAGGGCUUUCGGGAGGCAUCAAGAGGAAUUACUUUGUAAGAUUGGGAAACAAGCAGAUCGGAUUUUGUUCUCUUAAAGCGAAUAAAGAUUAACUCUGAUAAUUCAAAAAAACAGAGGUUGCUGGCACUUAGAAUCAUCAAGAUUUGAAGGAUCUGGUGUCCCACUGCUUGUUGAUUUCAUGAAGAAGUAUUCUUUGUGAAGUGAUUCUAUAAGUUCUGACUCACUGAUGGAGUGGAAUGGCAAACCCCACUUACAGUGGGACUGGGAGAGCCUGAUAAUGUUCAAUGGAAUAACAACUGAAAAUUCUAAGCAGUUAAGCCCAACAGAUUUGGAAACUGAUGGAGAAAAAGGAACCGACUCUGGGUUUUUCUAUUCAUCUGGGAGUGCAAGCAGAAGUGGUGGUUCUAGCUCUGAUUUGGAACUUGCUUCUUUCUCAAAGUGCUCGAAGUCAGCUUCCAUCAAUUCUUCAUCAGCUGGGGAAGUUAAAACAUCCAAAUUCACUUUGGAGGCCUCUAAAGCAAAUCCAUCUGAUUACAAUAAGAAAGAAAUUGGAAAGGCUAAGACAGCUAGUAUGUCUUCCACAAUUGAUGCUUCAGGUGGUUCAGGUGACCAGCUGCUUGGUUUGAAGCUUGGUAAACGAAUAUACUUUGAAGAUGCUUGUGCUGGCAACAAUGUUCAGUCUUCAUCAUUUUCUACAGUUCCUGUGCCCUCUUUUACUACAGCAAAGAAAUUGAAGUCCACUAUUCAGAGUCAGCGUGCUCCAUACUGUCAAGUGGAAGGCUGUAACCUUGACCUCUCAUCAGCUAAAGAUUAUCAUCGCAAACAUAGAGUUUGUGAAAGCCAUUCAAAGUGCCAGAAGGUCAUUGUAGCUGGUUUGGAACGCAGGUUUUGCCAGCAGUGUAGCAGGUUCCAUGGCCUGUCAGAGUUCGAUGAAAAGAAGAAAAGCUGCCGCAGGCGACUUUCUGAUCACAAUGCAAGACGCCGCAAACAACCAGGAUCGGUCCAUUUAAAUUCAAGAGUGUCUUCAUCAUUAUAUGAUGAAAGGCAACAGAUGAGUCUUGCUUGGGAUAGGGCACCACUUGUUCAUGCCAGGCCUAAUGCAAAUUUGACGUGGGAAGGCACAUACAUCUCCAAGUUCACAAUAACAAAAGAUUAUAUAGCAAAGCCUGCAGAAAUAGGUGGUAAUGAUGGGCAGUUUCACUUGCCUGGCUUUGAUCUGACAAAUGGCAUUGAUAUUCAGCACCAUCAUAAGUCUAAUAGCUCCUUACCAUCUAAAGGCAAGGGCACUGCAGCCGAGAUUCUCAACCAAGGUUUGGAAGAAUACAUCAUUCCUUCCAAAGCGGAAGCAGCACCAGAAUCUCAUCGUGCUCUCUCUCUUCUGUCAAACAAUUCAUGGGGUUCACGUGAGCCGCAAUCUAUUUCAUUUGAACAACCCAUGCAUACAAAUCACACCACUCAGUCUGUGCUGCAAGUUAUACCCCAAAACUCACCACUUACUUCAUCAGAGUAUUGGAGGACUGAGCAACCGUCAACUGACUCUCAAGUGCAUACCUUGACGUCUCACUGAUGGUAGCAGUUUCUUUCAAGAGUUUCAGCUGUUAAGAACAUCAAAAGGGAAUGACUUCAAUUCCAUCCAGAUGAACUUACUGCUGAAGCAAUUUAUCAUUUUCAUCUUAACAAAUUAAGUGAAGGCACUGGACCAUCCUGUAGCAUACUGUUAGGAUUCAGAUCAUGGUGAUCCGAAGUUCUCCUAAAACACCAUUUGGACUGGUUAAUGAUGGAUCACUGAUUUGAAAGUUAUCUGUAUCUGUUAUUAAAUUUCUAGGAACCUAGAACUUAAUAUUGCAACUUUUGAAGCAUCUUUUGAAAACCAAGGGAUCUGAGCUAUCAAUUUUCUUGUUCCUUCCAUUCGAUGCCCAUGGUAAAGCUCGUCUUAGCUUCUCUUGUGCUGUAAUAUACUGAAAAUAGUAGUACUUAAAUGCAGGUCUGAAUGAUCUUGCAGUAAUGCAGCCCUUAUAUGGCUCUGAUGUGAACUAUGAGCAUGAGCUGUUUGAAAA